AAGAAGCGAAGCGGUGACGUGGAGCAAACCUCAGAAAGCCAAUCUCAGUUCGGAUUGUAGGCUGCAACUCGCCUACAUGAAGUUGGAAUCGCUAGUAAUCGCGAAUCAGAAUGUCGCGGUGAAUACGUUCCCGGGUCUUGUACACACCGCCCGUCACACCACGAGAGUUUACAACACCCGAAGUCAGUGGCCUAACCGCGAGGAGGGAGCUGCCUAAGGUGGGGUAGAUGAUUGGGGUGAAGUCGUAACAAGGUAGC
RNAcentral lists this ribosomal RNA (257 nucleotides) under uncultured bacterium. Its description in RNAcentral is "partial 16S ribosomal RNA". It matches the Rfam family "Bacterial small subunit ribosomal RNA", at positions 1244 to 1500 of the family's 1533-position model. The record is from RNAcentral.